AUCAGGAAUCUUGCACAAUGCGCGAAAGCGAGAUGCAGCGAUGCCGCGUGGGUGAGGAAGUCCUUCGGGAUGUAAAGCCCUUUGAACGGGGACGAUGAUGACGGUACCCGUAGAACAAGCCCCGGCUAACUACGUGCCAGCAGCCGCGGUAAUACGUAGGGGGCGAGCGUUGUCCGGAAUUACUGGGCGUAAAGGGCGCGUAGGCGGCCCGUUAAGUCCACGGUGAAAGCCCGAGGCUCAACCUCGGAAGGGCCGUGGGGACUGGGGGGCUAGGGGUCGGAGAGGAGCGUGGAAUCCCUGGUGGAGCGGUGGAAUGCGUAGAGAUCAGGGGGAACACCGAUGGCGAAGGCAGCGCUCUGGCCGACAUCCGACGCUGAGGCGCGAAAGCUGGGGGAGCGAACGG
RNAcentral lists this ribosomal RNA (403 nucleotides) under uncultured bacterium. Its description in RNAcentral is "bacterial SSU rRNA". It matches the Rfam family "Bacterial small subunit ribosomal RNA", at positions 354 to 775 of the family's 1533-position model. The record is from RNAcentral.